This 217-nucleotide unclassified non-coding RNA is filed under the name Hevea brasiliensis (rubber tree). Lineage: Eukaryota; Viridiplantae; Streptophyta; Magnoliopsida; Malpighiales; Euphorbiaceae. The record is from RNAcentral.
AGAGAGAGAGAGAGAGAUGCAAGAGACCCAUUUAUUGUUUAAAUGAUUUAAUUUUAGUUCGCUCGGUUAAGACUUAAUAUUCUUGUUACUACUAUAUUAUAUAAUAUAUGCUUGCGUUGGAAUUAAUAAUUGCACUUUCUCUUUGAUUCCUUAAUACGAAGAGUUUCUUUCUGCUGCUUUAUAUACGCAAUGUCUUGCGUACUUGAGGCUUCUGGUU